GUCGCUUGAUUCCCGCGCACCUGACUUCCUGGGCGUCCCCUUCGGUGGACCGGGUGACAGGGGCUGCAUGGCUGUCGGCAUGUCGAGUCGUGAGGUGUUGGGUUAAGUCCCGCAGGAGCGCGCCCCUGCCUUUAGUUGCCAUCGUUCACGGGGGCACGCGAUAGGGACUGCCGGUGUUAAACCGGAGGAAGGGGGGGACGACGUGUAGUCCUCAUGGCCUUUAUGCCCUGGGGGACACGAGGGCUUGACUGGGCGGCCCCCUUGGUCCCGACUCCCCCCGGUGUACCCUAUCCCAAAAAACCGUUCUCGAUUCGGAUCGGAGUCUGCAACUCGACUCCGUGAAGUUGGAAUCCCUAGUAAUCCUGGAUCAGCAUGGACCAGUGAAUACCUUCCCGGGCCUUGUACACCCCGCCCGUGAAACGACAUGUGUCUGCUGUACUGGAAUGCCCUGAG
This 453-nucleotide ribosomal RNA is filed under the name uncultured bacterium. RNAcentral describes it as "partial 16S ribosomal RNA". It matches the Rfam family "Bacterial small subunit ribosomal RNA", at positions 986 to 1434 of the family's 1533-position model. The record is from RNAcentral.